UACAAUAUACAGUAAGUGCAUGGUUUGAGGAAGGCUUAUUCAGAUAAACUAUUGUCAGACAACCUGAAUGUAUCUUCGAAUCCAGGCCAGGAUCAAGGAGUUGUAAUGGCGGGACAAGGAUUUCAAGGUGCACUGAGGGUCAUGCUCCUUGUGGGUUUCCUUGGACUAACAAAAGAGUUUGAACUUCAGGACAAAGACUGGGACAAUUUGAGGUCUGAUGUGGCUGCUCUGCACAGAUUGAAAGGAUUACCUGAUCAAAUGACACGUAGGAACACAGGAGCAGACACCACAGCGAUAACAAUGCACGGGACCAGGACAAAGAGAUUCAGCAAUUACAGGUCAUAUCUGGAGAAAAAGCCCAUGGCUUUAUUUGAUGGUUUUAGGGGAUGUGACAAUUUUACAACAUGCGUCAUUCAAAUGGACCAGGUAAGAAAGUUUCUGUUAUGCUGCAUGUAUGAAUAGUUAUUUAUGAGCUAUAAUUGUAAAUCUGGUACAGACAUGUACAGUUACAGUAGCAUAUCUUUAUUAAUAGUUAUUCCAUUCAUUUAAUUUAAAGGGGCAAACUGGGAUUGGUAGGCUACAUCAAUUUUUUGACUUUCAAACGAAUAAUAUAUAGGCUAAUCACUAUAGCGGCACACCCCGCCGUACGGGCGGUAAAUCAUUAGAUCUGAUUAAUUCAAUCUUUGAUGACUGUAACCAUGAAAGGGGUUCACAGGAUGAAAGAAAGGACUCAAGAUCAGUUGGAUAACAAAGCAAGCAUUCUAUCAUGUAGGAACUACCUUCCUUUAGGUGCAAUCAUGAUUGUAAAUACAAAAUCUGGAGUGAAUCUGACGUAUGGUUCAUGAGGAGAAGAUGAUUUUGAGCAUUAGCGUUAAAUAUGCAAAGAAUGAGUUCUUAAUAGUUUCCUUGUUUUUUGAGAUAUCAAAACUGUUAGAUUCUAAAUAACCAGAGUAAAAACCUACGGACAACUAGUAAAGCUCAAACCAAGUUUAUUUACUCACUGGGUCACACAUCUGCAUAAGACAUGUUCCCACCAGCACAAGUAUAUACAGUUG
Long non-coding RNA from Coregonus clupeaformis (lake whitefish), 1055 nucleotides. RefSeq lists it as uncharacterized. NCBI's taxonomy places the organism in Eukaryota, Metazoa, Chordata, Actinopteri, Salmoniformes, Salmonidae. The transcript is spliced from 5 exons. The record is from RefSeq and is a predicted model, not a curated record.